GCGAAGGUGGCGGAAUUGGUAGACGCGCUAGCUUCAGGUGUUAGUGUCCUUACGGACGUGGUGGUUCAAGUCCCCCCCCUCGCACCA
This 87-nucleotide transfer RNA is filed under the name Escherichia coli. Its description in RNAcentral is "tRNA-Leu". It matches the Rfam family "tRNA". Rfam says of the family: Transfer RNA (tRNA) molecules are approximately 80 nucleotides in length. Lineage: Bacteria; Pseudomonadati; Pseudomonadota; Gammaproteobacteria; Enterobacterales; Enterobacteriaceae. The record is from RNAcentral. RNAcentral also lists the same sequence under 1 other name.